CUACGGGUUGCAGCAGUGGGGAAUAUUGCACAAUGGGCGCAAGCCUGAUGCAGCAACGCCGCGUGAGGGAUGAAGGCCUUCGGGUUGUAAACCUCUUUUAGCAGGGAAGAAGCGAAAGUGACGGUACCUGCAGAAAAAGCACCGGCUAACUACGUGCCAGCAGCCGCGGUAAUACGUAGGGUGCAAGCGUUGUCCGGAAUUAUUGGGCGUAAAGAGCUCGUAGGCGGUUUGUCACGUCUGCUGUGAAAAUCCAAGGCUCAACCUUGGACUUGCAGUGGGUACGGGCAGGCUAGAGUGCGGUAGGGGAGAUGGGAAUUCCUGGUGUAGCGGUGGAAUGCGCAGAUAUCAGGAGGAACACCAAUGGCGAAGGCACAUCUCUGGGCCGUAACUGACGCUGAGGAGCGGAAGCGUGGGGAGCGAACAGGAUUAGAUACCCGGGUAGUC
RNAcentral lists this ribosomal RNA (444 nucleotides) under uncultured bacterium. RNAcentral's name for it is "partial 16S ribosomal RNA". It matches the Rfam family "Bacterial small subunit ribosomal RNA", at positions 339 to 795 of the family's 1533-position model. The record is from RNAcentral.